RNAcentral lists this transfer RNA (87 nucleotides) under Acidobacteria bacterium 13_1_40CM_65_14. RNAcentral's name for it is "tRNA-Leu". It matches the Rfam family "tRNA". From Rfam's summary of the family: Transfer RNA (tRNA) molecules are approximately 80 nucleotides in length. Their secondary structure includes four short double-helical elements and three loops (D, anti-codon, and T loops). Lineage: Bacteria; Pseudomonadati; Acidobacteriota. The record is from RNAcentral.
GCGGAAGUGGCGGAACUGGCAGACGCACCAGCUUGAGGGGCUGGCGGUCGCAAGACCGGGGGGGGUCGAAUCCCCCCUUCCGCACCA